Molecule: ribosomal RNA, 255 nt
Filed under: uncultured bacterium
Lineage: Bacteria
Description: partial 16S ribosomal RNA
Rfam family: Bacterial small subunit ribosomal RNA
Source: RNAcentral
CAAACCAAAGCUGGCGACCGGCGCACGGGUGAGUAACACGUAUCCAACCUGCCUCAUACUCGGGGACAGCCUUUCGAAAGAAAGAUUAAUAUCCGAUAGCAUAUAUUUCCCGCAUGGGUUUUAUAUUAAAGAAAUUCGGUAUGAGAUGGGGAUGCGUUCCAUUAGUUUGUUGGGGGGGUAACGGCCCACCAAGACUACGAUGGAUAGGGGUUCUGAGAGGAAGGUCCCCCACAUUGGAACUGAGACACGGUCCAA